Molecule: ribosomal RNA, 491 nt
Filed under: uncultured bacterium
Lineage: Bacteria
Description: partial 16S ribosomal RNA
Rfam family: Bacterial small subunit ribosomal RNA
Source: RNAcentral
AGUGAACGCUGGCGGUAGGCCUAACACAUGCAAGUCGAACGGCAGCACAGUAAGAGCUUGCUCUUACGGGUGGCGAGUGGCGGACGGGUGAGGAAUACAUCGGAAUCUACUUUUUCGUGGGGGAUAACGUAGGGAAACUUACGCUAAUACCGCAUACGACCUACGGGUGAAAGCAGGGGAUCUUCGGACCUUGCGCGAUUGAAUGAGCCGAUGUCGGAUUAGCUAGUUGGCGGGGUAAAGGCCCACCACGGUGACGAUCCGUAGCUGGUCUGAGAGGAUAAUCAGCCACGUUGGACCUGAGACACGGGCCAAAGUCUUAUGGGAGGCAGCAGUGGGGAAAAUUGGACAAGGGGCGGAAGCUGGAACCAGCCAUACAGCGUGGGUGAAUAAGGCAUUCGGGUUGUAAAGCCUUUUUGUAGGGAAAAAAGAGCAGCAGGUUAUGGCCCCCCUGUUCUGACGGUACCGAAAGAAUAAGCACCGGAUAACUUCGG